This is a non-coding RNA of Arachis ipaensis, 149 nucleotides long. The record is from RefSeq and is a predicted model, not a curated record. NCBI's taxonomy places the organism in Eukaryota, Viridiplantae, Streptophyta, Magnoliopsida, Fabales, Fabaceae.
AUAAAUAACUUAAAUAAAUUCUUUUAGAAAAAGAGCUUAAAGUAUAAAGACUUUUAUUAAUAGCAGCUUAUAAAUAAGUUAUUUUGUGUUUGGAUUUUUAGUUAUAAAAAUACUUAAUUUAAAGUUGUAGCAUUUUAAAGUUAUAGUAU